This 501-nucleotide ribosomal RNA is filed under the name uncultured bacterium. Its description in RNAcentral is "bacterial SSU rRNA". It matches the Rfam family "Bacterial small subunit ribosomal RNA", at positions 28 to 523 of the family's 1533-position model. The record is from RNAcentral.
GAUGAACGCUAGCGACAGGCCUAACACAUGCAAGUCGAGGGGCAGCACAUGAGUAGCAAUACGAUGGUGGCGACCGGCGCACGGGUGAGUAACACGUAUGCAACCUGCCUGUAAGAGGGGGAUAACCCGGAGAAAUUCGGACUAAUACCGCAUAAUACCACGAGACUGCAUGGUUUUGUGGUUAAACAUUUAUGGCUUACAGAUGGGCAUGCGUAUGAUUAGAUAGUUGGUAGGGUAACGCCUACCAAGUCUACGAUCAUUAGGGGUUCUGAGAGGAAGGUCCCCCACACUGGUACUGAGACACGGACCAGACUCCUACGGGAGCAGCAGUGAGGAAUAUUGGUCAAUGGGCAGAGCCUGAACCAGCCAAGUCGCGUGAAGGAAGAAGGUUCUAUGGAUUGUAAACUUCUUUUGCAGGGGAAUAAAGGACGGUACGUGUACUGUUUUGUAUGUACCUUGCGAAUAAGGAUCGGCUAACUCCGUGCCCAGCAGCCGCGGUAA